RNAcentral lists this long non-coding RNA (2439 nucleotides) under Malus domestica (apple). Its description in RNAcentral is "long non-coding RNA (MDOM_LNC011749)". Lineage: Eukaryota; Viridiplantae; Streptophyta; Magnoliopsida; Rosales; Rosaceae. The record is from RNAcentral.
UGCUAUUGUUGCUUAUAGUAGCCACCCUGUUGCGGAGGGCGGUAUUGACCUGGAAUGGUGUAAGGAGGCCGAGGGUGCGAUCCAGGUUGUUGUGCAUGGGCAUUAUAGUAUGGGCCACGCCACCCUGGAUAAGCAGGUUGACCAUAGUCAUGGUUUGCAGGUGGCUGUUGCUGGGUCUGUGGAGGUGGGUAUGGACUACCAGCUUGAGGAGGUGGGUAUGGACUACCAGCUUGAGGAGGUGCAUAUGGACUACCAGCUUGAGGAGGUGCAUAUGGACUUGUAGGUUGUGGUGGCACAUGGUAAGGAGAUGGCAUCUGCUGCGUUGAGCUAUAGGGGGGAGGGUGAGUAUAUCCAGCAAUUGCUGGCUGCUCAGGAGGAUGGUAGUAUGGUGGGGUUUGAGGACGAGGAUCUGUUGGCUGUUGUGAACCAGGUUGUCCCACAGAACGAUAGUUGUUGUCGUACGCACCUGUGGUUUUCGUAUCCUGGAAACUGAGGCCUGCCAUUUUUUUGUGAACAUCUUCAAUCAUUUCCUUGCACUGAAUGUUUCUAGUCAUCACAAAGUCAUUGCACUGCUGCUUUACAUUCGUUAUUGCAUCCUGUCGAAGACGGACAAAUCAAUCAACCACCAGAACACGAAGUCAUGGAAAUUUCAAACACAACUAGGUGAAGAUUGAUAGCAUGCUGUCACAGCAGACACCAGAAGAGAUCCAACUAUAACAAAGAAAAUAGUGAUCUCAAAUAGCUAUAAAGUAAAGUGCACAUUAUUCAAAAUUACCUGAAGAGUAACAUAGAACUUUAAGCCCUCAUUUAUGUUCUCCUUAAUUUCGCGGAACUUUGCUAUGGCAGCUUGAAUCUGCUUGUAACAUUUCUCACGAGAUGCUGGAACAAAAUGAGAAGGAAACAAACAGGAAAAAUAUAAGAAUACACUCCACCUUAAUUAUAAUAUGCAAACAGAUAGCAUGACAGAAGCAAGGAAAUAGAUUCCAUGUCGUAAGAUAAUCAGAGGACUUCCCUACAAACAUAUUCAAUAUAUGACAAUGAAAACAGCCAACAGAGAAAAAGGCACUUGAAAUAAUAGAUUGUAAGAUAUCAUCAUGGCCAGCAGAACGGGUAAGAGCAAAUAAAAACUUGAGAAACAACAUUUAAUAAACAUGUAAAACACCCAUGUUACACAUGGGUCAGAAUAAUCAAUAUUCCAGAUUGUUUGCAGGCAUAAAUCUGUCUUUUAUCCAACGAAGUGAACAAGGGACAACGUUUCUAAAUUGCCAUAUAUUCAUUUACUAGUUAAUAUGAUAAUCAGUUACGGGGUCAAUAACAUGAUUGAGAUCUCAUUCUGGACAUUUUAUAUUACACCGUCUCUCUUCCCAUGGUAAAGGAAACAAUUUUUUCCAGAUUGAGAUAUAAGUGAACUCCAAAAGGUAGACGUGCACCCUCACCCAACCCACAGGCCCAAGCAUUUAACAAGGUCAUCAAGGGUAGAAUAAUACAACCAAUGAACAUCUACGACUAAAUAAUGCAUCAAUAGGUGUUACCUUAAAGCAUACAAACCAUUUAAAGCAUAAAAGACCUACCUUUAUAAUCUUCUAGAUUGAAGAUUGCAGCAAACUCAGCAUUUUGGGCCUGCAGAUGACAAACACACAUUUUGAUCAUGAGAUAUUUGAGAGCUUAAAUCCAUUUCCAUUUAUUUAGGAAUAUUAUACAAGGAAAGGAAUUUUCAAAACCCAUAGCAAAUACUACAGAUGAAUCUACAAAACAUGAAAUGACAGACAGCUCCUUGGUAAGCAAAUGAUAAUAUGGCAAGUGGCAACUGACUUGAUUUGACAAAGGCAUUUCAUUUCUUUUAACAAAAAAGAAUAAUAGGGUAGUACCACUAUAGCAUAUAUUUUCUCAUCAGACCUCUUCCAAGAUGAUAAAGAGAAUUAAGCCACAGAGUCUGCCACACCGCAUAUUAUUUAACCUUAUCCCUCUACCCACAAUAUAUCCAAUUGGGUCUUUUGAAAGUUACCAAUAAGUAGAACAACAAUGUGCAAAACGAAAGGUGUUGAUUCCAUCAGAAUGUUUUCUAUUCAGUUAUAUCUUAAACCACAAUAUACUGAUUUGGUCUUUGCAAAGUUAAAAAUAAGUAGCACAAAAAUGUACAAAACUAAAGGUUUUGAUACGACAAGAAUAUCGUCCAGUCAAUCUAGUUGCAUAUUAAAAUGAUAGGUACUGCUCAAUGUACGACAUUACCAAUUGCACACUCAAAACAGAUGUGGGAAAAAAAUGAAGAAAUAUGCAUAAAGAAAGUCCAACAACAAUAAAAAGGAAACAGACCUGGAUUUGCUGCAAUAAUUGUUCUUGUGCCUCAAUAUUAUGGGCAAUGUCUUCACUUAUGAGAUCAUACUUAGAUAUCUCCUUCCUGAAAAGAUCCUCAUAGGAGACAGUUGAUGUCAUCAACUU